RNAcentral lists this transfer RNA (67 nucleotides) under Geogenia natalensis. RNAcentral describes it as "tRNA-Val". Lineage: Eukaryota; Metazoa; Annelida; Clitellata; Crassiclitellata; Microchaetidae. The record is from RNAcentral.
CGAAGUAUAGCAUACAUAUAAUGCUUUUUACUUACACUAAAAAUAAAACGGUUAGUUUACUUCGCAU